RNAcentral lists this long non-coding RNA (1124 nucleotides) under Pan troglodytes (chimpanzee). RNAcentral's name for it is "lncRNA (ENSPTRG00000054472.1)". Lineage: Eukaryota; Metazoa; Chordata; Mammalia; Primates; Hominidae. The record is from RNAcentral.
GCCCUGGGUGCCAUGGGAACACUGAAGAGAGACUGACAUGGAUGCUGCCGCCCUCGGGUACCUCCCAGGCUGCUGGAGGAGACAAGCCACGGACACAGCCACUAGCACCACCUACAAAGUAAGGAGUGCCUGCGGACUAGAUCGUGACACUACACCCUGCCACCAGCAGCCUGGCAGCCUCUUCCAGUGACAUCUUGGACCGUAAGUGGAUCAAGACGCAGCCUUGUCAGCCCCCACAUCUCAGGAUGCUCCAGGAAGUUGCUGUGUUUAACGUGGCGGCCUACAGAGGAGGAGGCUGUACCUCAUGGUCCAGGGAGAUGGUGCUCUCAAAAGUUCCAGAAAAGGGAUGGAACAAAUUUGGAGCACCUACUUUGGGCCAGGACUCAUUUAAGCUUCAAGAAACCUAGGAAGGAGGCAACUUCCCGCCAUUUUAUAGGUGGAGAGACUGAGGGUGAAUAUUGAAUUGAUUCACUUUUGCCACAUAACAAAGCACUCCCAGAGUGUCCUAAGAUCUCCAUUUCUUUCGCUCCCAAUGCUAUAGGUAAGCAGUUUGGGCUGGACGCAGAUGGACGCCCUUCUGAUGAUCUCAGCGAGACAAUGCCCACUCAUGGUCAGCUAGGAAUCAAGUGGAGGCUGACUGGUCUCACCCACCUGUCUGGUAGUUGAUGGCUACGGGCAACACGAAUGGCUGAGCCAUGUGCUCUCAUGAACCCAGCUUCCCAGGGCAGCAAGAGAGCCAGCCCCAAUGUGUGAACACUUUUUAAAGCCUUUGGUGGCUUGUUUGCUAAUGUCCCAGGAGCCACGUAAGACAUAAGGCCAGUGCAGAGCCAGUGUGGGAGGGGACUAUCCAAGGGGCAGAUAGAGGAAGUUAAACAAAUUAUGGCCGUUUUUGUAAUCUACGACAAGAACUCCGUUCAAGGAACACACUAAAUGCAUGGCAGACCUUCCUCUUUGAUCUUCUGAGCUGACAGGCAUGUGGUGAGCACAGCCUCAUGUGUCCCUAAUGUGUUCCAGACACACUUAGCACUUCCCACACAGCCAUGUAAACUGCCCGGUCCUCACUGAACUUUCUACUCCGACUGAUCUUGAGAGGCACAUGUCUCAGGAUUUAAAUAAAAAUGAAC